RNAcentral lists this ribosomal RNA (370 nucleotides) under uncultured bacterium. RNAcentral describes it as "bacterial SSU rRNA". It matches the Rfam family "Bacterial small subunit ribosomal RNA", at positions 148 to 503 of the family's 1533-position model. The record is from RNAcentral.
UUGUGGAAACAGGGUGCUAAUACCGCAUAACAACGUUGUUCACAUGAACAACGCUUAAAAGAUGGCUUCUCGCUAUCACUUCUGGAUGGACCUGCGGUGCAUUAGCUUGUUGGUGGGGUAAUGGCCUACCAAGGCGAUGAUGCAUAGCCGAGUUGAGAGACUGAUCGGCCACAAUGGGAGUGAGACACGGCCCAUACUCCUACGGGAGGCAGCAGUAGGGAAUCUUCCACAAUGGGCGCAAGCCUGAUGGAGCAACACCGCGUGAGUGAAGAAGGGUUUCGGCUCGUAAAGCUCUGUUGUUAAAGAAGAACACGUAUGAGAGUAACUGUUCAUACGUUGACGGUAUUAACCAGAAAGUCACGGCUAACUA